GAUGAACGCUAGCGGCAGGCCUAAUACAUGCAAGUCGAACGCUCAGUAGCAAUACUGGGAGUGGCGCACGGGUGCGUAACGCGUACACAAUCUACCUCUAAGCGGGGGACACCUCCUGGAAACGGGGAUUAAUACCGCAUAAUAUGCCGAAGUCGCAUGACUUUGGUAUUAAAGCAGCAAUGCACUUAGAGAUGAGUGUGCGUCCCAUUAGGUAGUUGGUGAGGUAACGGCUCACCAAGCCUAUGAUGGGUAGCCGGUCUGAGAGGAUGGUCGGCCACACGGGCACUGAGACACGGGGCCCGACUCCUACGGGAGGCAGCAGUAAGGAAUAUUGGUCAAUGGUGGAAACACUGAACCAGCCAUGCCGCGUGGAGGAAUAAGGUCCUACGGAUUGUAAACUCCUUUUGACGAGGAAGGAAAAUAGUUAGAUUUAUCUAAUUUUGACGGUACUCGUAGAAUAAGCACCGGCUAACUCCGUGCCAGCAGCCGCGGUAA
RNAcentral lists this ribosomal RNA (495 nucleotides) under uncultured bacterium. RNAcentral's name for it is "bacterial SSU rRNA". It matches the Rfam family "Bacterial small subunit ribosomal RNA", at positions 28 to 523 of the family's 1533-position model. The record is from RNAcentral.